GGGGAUUUAGCUCAGUGGUAGAGCGCUUGCCUAGCAAGUGGACCCUGGGUUCGGUCCCCAGCUCCG
RNAcentral lists this transfer RNA (66 nucleotides) under Rattus norvegicus (Norway rat). It matches the Rfam family "tRNA". Rfam says of the family: Transfer RNA (tRNA) molecules are approximately 80 nucleotides in length. Their secondary structure includes four short double-helical elements and three loops (D, anti-codon, and T loops). Further hydrogen bonds mediate the characteristic L-shaped molecular structure. tRNAs have two regions of fundamental functional importance: the anti-codon, which is responsible for specific mRNA codon recognition, and the 3' end, to which the tRNAs corresponding amino acid is attached (by aminoacyl-tRNA synthetases). tRNAs cope with the degeneracy of the genetic code in two manners: having more than one tRNA (with a specific anti-codon) for a particular amino acid; and 'wobble' base-pairing, i.e. permitting non-standard base-pairing at the 3rd anti-codon position. Lineage: Eukaryota; Metazoa; Chordata; Mammalia; Rodentia; Muridae. The record is from Rfam by way of RNAcentral.